AUUGAACGCUGGCGGCAGGCCUAACACAUGCAAGUCGAACGAGCGGCGGACGGGUGAGUAAUGUCUGGGGAACUGCCUGAUGGAGGGGGAUAACUACUGGAAACGGUAGCUAAUACCGCAUACUAUCUGAUGAACCCAUAUGGGAUUAGCUUGUUGGUGGGGUAACGGCUCCCCUGGGCGACGAUCCCUAGCUGGUCUGAGAGGAUGACCAGCCGCACUGGAACUGAGACACGGCCCAGACUCCUACGGGAGGCAGCAGUGGGGAAUAUUGCACAAUGGGCGCAAGCCUGAUGCAGCCAUGCCGCGUGUAUGAAGAAGGCCUUAGGGUUGUAAAGUACUUUCAGCGGGGAGGCGUUACCCGCAGAAGAAGCACCGGCUAACUCCGUGCCAGCAGCCGCGGUAAUAC
This 406-nucleotide ribosomal RNA is filed under the name uncultured bacterium. RNAcentral describes it as "partial 16S ribosomal RNA". It matches the Rfam family "Bacterial small subunit ribosomal RNA", at positions 30 to 526 of the family's 1533-position model. The record is from RNAcentral.